Molecule: long non-coding RNA, 898 nt
Filed under: Homo sapiens (human)
Lineage: Eukaryota; Metazoa; Chordata; Mammalia; Primates; Hominidae
Description: non-protein coding lnc-UBQLNL-1:1
Source: RNAcentral
AGUCAGAACUUGCUGAUCUCUGGGUCUGGGUCCUUUGUCCUGCUGGGGAUGCCGGGACUGGAGGCUCUGCAUGCCUGGCUCUCUGUGCUUGUGUGCCUGCUCUACAUGGCAGCUUUGGUAGGGAAUGCCCUUCUAGUGGGGCUGGUGGUCACUGACAAGGCACUCUGGGCACCCAUGUACCAGCUGCUGUGGCUUCUGGCAGCUGCUGAUUUUGUUCUGGCCACAUCCACAGUGCCCAAAGCUCUGGCUGUACUUUGGGGCUUGUCUAGUGAGAUAUCAUUUGGAGGCUGCUUGGCUCAACUCUUUGUUGCCCAUGUGUCAAUCAUUGCCACAUUGCUGAGUCCUCAGUGCUGCUGUCCACGGCCGUAGACUGCCAGCCUUUGCGCUAUGGGGCGUUGCUGGCCCAGUUUGUGGUAGGUCUAGUGGCUCUGACUACCAUGACCCGUGAUGUCUGUGUCAUGUACACCCUGUGAUCCUGUUCAAGAAACUGCCUUACUGUGGACAGUGGGCCCUGCCCCACACCUACUGCGAACACAUGGGUGUGGCUUGCCUGGCAUGUGGAGAUACGUGCCCCAUCAUCAGGUAUGGACUGGCCACCACACUGCUCUCCCCAGCCCUGGACCUAGGGCUCAUAGGUGCUUCCUAUGCCCUCAUUUUCCGUGCUGUCUGCCGUCUGCCAUCCCAUGUUGCCUGCCACAAGGCUCUGGGUAACUGCGGGACCUAUGCUAGCAUCAUUGGUCUCUUCUACACACCUGCCCUCUUCUCCUUCCUUGCUCACUGUUUUGGGUGUCACACAGUGCCCAACCAUAUUCACAUCCUACUGGCUAACCUCUACGCAGUGGUGUUCCCAGCUUUCAAUCCUGUGGUCUAUGGAGUGCAGACUCAGCAGAGCUCAGAG